CAGAAUGAUACUAGUUCACCCAUUCAAGCAAUAACCUCCAACCUAAUAGAGUUUGAAAGAAUUCAGGCAAAAAUUUAAAACACUCUUUCUUUGUUAAUUUGCCAAAGUGUGAAUGAUCCAAUGCUCCUCCUUGUGAUACUUACAGUCAUAGAGAUAAAACAGGUAGUAGGAAUUAUGCCUUGUGACUCAGCCAUGAGUCUUGGAUGUUUUGAAUAAGGAAGUCAACAAAUGGUCUCUCUGUUCUUCAACACUAUCUGCUCACUUUCCAUCAGCCAGAUCAGAAUUCUAUGAGUUAUUGACCUUCAGUGAGUCUGUGUAUUUGAAUAAUGUCCUGAACAGUUAACUAAAUACCUUUUAAAUGCUCUUAUACAGCUACAAUAUGAUGAUACAAAUAUCCUUUGUCCAACUGGCAAAACGGAGAGGAUCAGAUCAUAAUUUCCUGAACUGGUCUUUUGGGAAACUUAAACCUCUGAGUUCCUGUAGACUGAGCUCCUCAAGGAAGAACUAAAAUAUGAACCAGCCAGAAAGAAGAGAUUUGGUUGACCAAGACAUGUCUUAGAGUUUGGUCAAGGGCUCUGCUCACAGGUUUCUACACUUGUACAAAUGCUGAAGAUGGAAAGGCCUUUCCUGAUUUGUUUGGAGAAUUGAAAUAGAACUUUGGUAGGUACUGUCUUAAUUCUUAGAACAACCUUAGAGAUCUCAGUCGACCUUUUCAUGUGAGAGAUGUUAAGGCUGAUUCCCCAGAGAGGGGAAAUGACUUGCUAAAAGUAAAUUAACACAAGAGGAAAUGACAUGACAAACACUUGCAGAGAUGUUUGGCUUAUUUAGUCACUGGAAAAAUAGAAAACAAAGCAAACUCAUGACACUACUUUACAUCCAUUGAGUCAACAAAAAUUCAAUAUUUUAUAUAUAAUUUUAUUUUAUCUCAAUUAAUGAUCAGGCAAGGAAAGAGACCAUCCAUGGAAGACGUAGUAAUUGCAUUAAACUGGUAAGUUUCUUUUCAAAGGCAAUAUGCUAAUUUAAACCACGAGUCAUAAACACGGUCCUACCCUGUGACUCAGUAGUCUAAUCCUUACAUCCUAAGGAUUUGUAGAUUUGUUCAAAGACUUUUAGAAGGGUGUGAUUCAGAAUUUGAGACCUUUAAGAUCUUAUCGCCUGAGCUUUUUCAAAAGCAUGUGAACAAAUGGAGAGCCACAGAGAAAUGAUUUUCCAAGUUUCUGAGCCAGGGUUGGAAUCUAAGAUUCCUGCCCAAGCAUAAGAUUCCUGCUCUGAAGUAGUUUAGUGAAAAGAUAAAUACAACCCAGAUCUCCUCAAAUCAAAGAGCUAGUUUAGCAUAUUGUUAAGAGCCUGGCUUCCUGGGAUCAGACUGUGGCUCUACCACUGGCUGAGUGGUUUACAGCAGGUACUUAAUUUUUGUGUUCUAUCAGCCAAACCCGUGUGCUAAGAGAAUCUUUUGUCUAUUUCCACCAUUGCUGCCACACCCAGUUUAGGUGGGCUCUGACUGACUCUGUGACCUUGUGCAGGCAAACUAUAAGGUACUUUGCCUCUAGCCCUGACACCUGCCUCUUGUCACCAACCCUGAGGCUUCCCUGCUGAUACUCAGGUGUGAUAUGUGCCAGGUCCAAAGUGUGUCGGAGUAAGAGAUCUCAUGGAGCAGAUGGGGACUCGUGGAUAAACAGUUCCUCUUUCCUCCCCUUGUAUAACUAUUUGAGAUGCGUUUUUACAGCUUUCUUGCUGGAUGGUCUCCAGAGGGGAUAGUCUCAUGAGAUGGAGCGAUUGAUCACAUUUGAUGGUUACCAGCUGGAUAAUGCACCUUCAAAUGGACUUUCCCCACUUCCUUGCCUCGUUUUACUAUUGCCUGCUUCCUUGAGGUUGAACCCUGAAUAAAGCAAUUCAUGUUACUCUUGGCUUUGGACUCCACUUUUUUUUUUUAAAUUUUUUAUUUAUUUUUGGCUGAGCUGGUCUUCAUUGCUGUGCAAGGGCUUUCUCUAGUUGCAGUGAGUAGGGGCUACUCGUUGUGGUGCGUGGGCUUCUCAUUGUGGCAGAUGCUCUUGUUGCAGAGCACAGGCUGUAGGGUGCAAGGGCUUCAGUAGUUUCGGCACAUGGGCUCAGAAGUCGUGGCCCCCAGGCUCUAGACCACAGGCUCAGUGAUUGUGGUGCACAGGCUUAGUUGCCCUCAACGUAUGUGAUCUUAGUUCCUGGACCAGGGAUUAAACCCAUGUCUCCUGCAUUGGUAGGUGGAUCCUUAAUCACUGGACAACGAGGGAGGUCCCUCCACUUUCUUUCCUCUGAAGCCAAACAAAGACAGAUGGUACCUAGCUAUAUAUGGUUAUAGGGAAGAAACAUUUAAUGAGUAAAAAUAGAUAAUGUGCUCAGAACUGUGUCUGACAUAUAGUAAUUAUUUUGUAAGCAUGAGCUAUUUUUAUCUAUCAUAACACUAUGUAUCACUGUGUACUGAAAAUGGAAAAUAUUUAGACGCUACACGGAGAACUGUAUGUGAAAUAAUAGUAACCAAAAACAGCACUAAGAAACAGGCAUCACAUAGAUUAUAACUCCAUAAAAAUUAUAUAUACCCCCUGGUGGUAGAGGGAUGCUA
Bos grunniens (domestic yak) is the source of this 2596-nucleotide long non-coding RNA. The record is from Ensembl. NCBI's taxonomy places the organism in Eukaryota, Metazoa, Chordata, Mammalia, Artiodactyla, Bovidae.